CUCCUCUUGAAAUAUAAGAGGUACCGUCUGCUCAAUGCGAUUGUAAAUAGCCGCAGUAUUCUGACUGUGCUAAGGUAGCAUAAUCAUUAGUCUUUUAAUUGGAGGCUGGUAUGAAUGACGAGACGAGAAAAUAGCUGUCUCUAAAAUAAGUUUUGAAUUUUAUUUCUAAGUGAAAAAGCUUAGAUAAUUUUGAAGGACGAUCAGACCCUUUGGAGCUUUAUUUAUUUUAAGUCUAAAUUUAUUUAAGAUGAUUGGAGGAAAAAUAAAUUUUGUUGGGGCGACAGGGAGUAAAAAAUAUCACUCUUUUUUAAAAACAACUAUAGUUGGAAAAUUGAUCCUUACCGUGAGAUUAAAAGACUAAGUUACCCUAGGGAUAACAGCGUAAUCUUUUUGGAGAGUUCUAAUCGAUAAAAAGGUUUGCGACCUCGAUGUUGGAUUAAGAGAUUAGCAAGGUGCAGAAGUUUUGCUGGAGAGUGCUGUUCGACUCU
RNAcentral lists this ribosomal RNA (488 nucleotides) under Daphnia similis. RNAcentral's name for it is "partial 16S ribosomal RNA". It matches the Rfam family "Bacterial large subunit ribosomal RNA", at positions 1832 to 2588 of the family's 2925-position model. Lineage: Eukaryota; Metazoa; Arthropoda; Branchiopoda; Diplostraca; Daphniidae. The record is from RNAcentral.